RNAcentral lists this ribosomal RNA (216 nucleotides) under Glomeromycotina sp. Its description in RNAcentral is "partial small subunit ribosomal RNA". The stretch from base 40 to 216 matches the Rfam family "Eukaryotic small subunit ribosomal RNA", at positions 686 to 864 of the family's 1831-position model. Lineage: Eukaryota; Fungi; Glomeromycota. The record is from RNAcentral.
GGGUCAGUAGGUUGGUCGUGCCACCGGUACGUACUGGUCUCACUGAUUCCUCCUUCCUGAAGAACCGUAAUGCCGUUAAUUUGGUGUUGCGGGGAAACAGGACUGUUACUUUGAAAAAAUUAGAGUGUUUAAAGCAAGCUAACGCUUGAAUACAUUAGUAUGGAAUAAUGAAAUAGGACGAUCGAUCCUAUUUUGUUGGUUUCUAGGAUUGACGUA